This is a long non-coding RNA of Mangifera indica (mango), 840 nucleotides long. RefSeq lists it as uncharacterized. The transcript is spliced from 3 exons. NCBI's taxonomy places the organism in Eukaryota, Viridiplantae, Streptophyta, Magnoliopsida, Sapindales, Anacardiaceae. The record is from RefSeq and is a predicted model, not a curated record.
CGCUUUCACAGGGACCAGGAACACAAAGAUGAGAGUGAAUGUGUCAUGCAUACAGAAGAAUUGAUGGCUAUGUUAUAGAGCAUAAAAAGUAGAAGAAAAGUGGGAGACAAGGCACCUGAGAAUUGACAGAAAAUUUGAGAGGGAUUGAAGGAGAGUGCUGGCCCCUCAAAUGCCAAGCAACCAUAGAAUCUGAUGUGAGAACUGUUUUAUAGAAUCCUAUAAUCGCUGGAAUCUUAAUGAGCUUUGAUUAUUUGUAAUCUGAUUUCAGUGUAUUGAGACUGUUUCAUUCACAUAUAAUACAUAGAGUAUCCUUCCAAAAAAAUUCUUGUGUUUGCUGUGUGAUUGUGUUGGGUUGAGAAUUAUAUUGUGAGCGGGGAAAUUAUUGUGGAAGUGUGGUGAAAUUGAGGUAGCGCAGAAACAGGGAAACUGUGAGGUGGAAGAAGUGUGCUCGGGGCCAACUCAAUAUCCAGGUACCUAUCACAAUUAUUGGUAGAGUAGAACAUAUGAAAUUGGCCGUAGUUCAGUUUCAUUGAUGAGUGGUUUAUCCAGACAUCAAAUACCACCCAAGCUACCAUCAAUUUGGCGUCCUACUAUAGUGAGCAGGCAAAUUCCCUUUUCAGGAAAUGAGUGGGUAUGCCAACUAUGGUGGCGAUGGGUUUGUCUAUGGACUUGGAAAUUACUGAUAGCGAGAUAUCUUGAAUAAAAGCCAAGGUUAAAUUUAGUGGCAGAUUUACAAGAAGAAGAAAAAGUUUUCCUUUAGCAAAACAGAAAAAAGGGAUACCAACAGUAAACAUCAAGAGAGGACUUCCUGUAUAAAAGUAGGACAUUCCAAAAAUAAGA